This 240-nucleotide unclassified non-coding RNA is filed under the name soil metagenome. RNAcentral describes it as "partial contains 5.8S ribosomal RNA, internal transcribed spacer 2, and large subunit ribosomal RNA". The record is from RNAcentral.
AACCAUUCUCACCUGCGGCUAGACCUGCGGAAGGAUCAUUACAGAGUUGCAAAACUCCCUAAACCAUUGUGGACGCUACCUUUUAACGUUGCUUCGGCGGGCGGCCCGCUCCCCUGGAAGGCCCCUGUGGCCGCCCGGGGCUGCGAGCCCCCCGGCCCCCCUCGCGGGGGCGCCCGCCGGAGGAUACCCAACUCUUGAUUAUUUUAGGCCUCUCUGAGUCUUCUGUACUGAAUAAGUCAA